GUGAAUCAUCGAAUCUUUGAACGCACCUUGCGCCCUCUGGUAUUCCGGAGGGCAUGCCUGUUUGAGUGUCAUGUAGACUCAAUCCCUCGGGUUUCCGAGGAGAUUGGACUUGGGUGUUGCCGCUCUGCCGGCUCGCCUUAAAAGACUAAGCGGGAUAGCACCGUAGUCGGCGUAAUAAGUUUCGUCGGUGAAGGUUGUGAUGACUGCUUACAAUCGCCCUCGGGCAAUUUUUGACUCUGACCUCAAAUCAGGUAGGACUACCCGCUGAACUUAAGCAUAUCAAUAAGCGGAGGA
Molecule: unclassified non-coding RNA, 294 nt
Filed under: Saitozyma sp.
Lineage: Eukaryota; Fungi; Basidiomycota; Tremellomycetes; Tremellales; Trimorphomycetaceae
Description: partial contains 5.8S ribosomal RNA, internal transcribed spacer 2, and large subunit ribosomal RNA
Rfam family: 5.8S ribosomal RNA (bases 1-71)
Source: RNAcentral